AUGUGUGUAUUAUUGUGAAUGUCAUAGAAGGACAUCACAUUUAGCAGUCCCUUGGCUGUCACCUUCCACAACUAAAAAACACAUCCUCCUUGCCUGCUAGUUUUCUGUAUUAAUUCCCUCUUUGUAUUUGGAAAAUUCUAACAAUAGGAUAAACACUACACAUUAUGGGGACUUUGUGUUGUGCGUUUAUUAUGACAAAAGUUAAUUUGGACUUCACUUGAAACAUAUGGGGCAGCUUGUCUACUUUCUUUUCUUAUUCACUAUGCUCAUCUUUAAUUUGUAGCAUAUUCUGGUUGGAAAAUAUGUGCAAUUUAUUAACUUUUACUUUCUCUACUUUAAUUUAACUUGUAC
This 351-nucleotide long non-coding RNA is filed under the name Nicotiana benthamiana. RNAcentral's name for it is "long non-coding RNA (NBEN_LNC006384)". The record is from RNAcentral. Lineage: Eukaryota; Viridiplantae; Streptophyta; Magnoliopsida; Solanales; Solanaceae.